GAGGGAUAAGCACCGGAAACGGUGUCUAAUACCGCAUAGUAUCUUCGGAUUAAAGAAUUUAUUCGCUUUGGGAGCGGCCCGCGUCGGAUUAGGUAGUUGGUGAGGUAAAGGCUCACCAAGCCGACGAUCCGUAGCUGGUCUGAGAGGAUGACCAGCCAGACUGGAACUGAGACACGGUCCAGACUCCUACGGGAGGCAGCAGUGAGGAAUCUUCCACAAUGGGGGCAACCCUGAUGGAGCAACGCCGCGUGCAGGAUGAAGGCCUUCGGGUUGUAAACUGCUUUUAUAAGUGAGGAAUAUGACGGUAACUUAUGAAUAAGGAUCGGCUAACUACGUGC
This 338-nucleotide ribosomal RNA is filed under the name uncultured Candidatus Saccharibacteria bacterium. RNAcentral's name for it is "bacterial SSU rRNA". It matches the Rfam family "Bacterial small subunit ribosomal RNA", at positions 138 to 508 of the family's 1533-position model. The record is from RNAcentral. Lineage: Bacteria; Candidatus Saccharimonadota.